AUUAGAAUUGUCAUUAUUUACACUUUCACUAUUUUAUUCAUAGAAUCAGUGUUUAUAUAGAUUGUAUAUAGAAGAACUUUGGCCUGUCAAAAAUGAUGGCACCACGUGAGCCAAAAAUCAUUUUUGGUGAUAUGAACACUCCCAGCAACCCAAAACAGGUCUGCAGUAAUCAGAGUGGAAGGAGGGAAGCAGAUGUCAGACACCUCCUUUUCUACCCCUCCUCUCUCUUAAUGAAGGUUUUAAGAGGUAACAAUGUAUAGAGAUAACAAGAGCUCAAAGACACAGCAUUCUUAAAGAACUGUGCAUGCAAGACUCACACUCAUUUCCUGCAAGACUGCACUGGGGUCAGUGGAGCAAACGUUACAGGCUUUUUGUUCUAAAGUUUGCAUUUAAACAUCACAGCAAUAGAAAUCUGGGUCCGUUCAAUCAACAUAUAAUGGUCUCAUUCCUCCAGAGUUGUAACAUAAGUAACCUUAGAAGUAAUUAAUAGACGUUGUGAUGGAAUAGCAGAAGUGACAAAGUUGCCAACAAGGCAGAAAGAAAAAAAAAAAAAACAGGAUUCUACCACAAAUUCCCUAAUGUAUUUGAUGGUUUAUUGUUUUUUUUUUCCCUGACAAUAACAGUAAGAAAACAGCAAGGCAAUGGCGUGAACGCUACACAAUAGUUACCGGCUCAACCAUAUUUUACUGACCAAAGACACCACAGUCCCGCCUUUUUGUUUUCUAUUGGCUCAAAAGACAGAGGUUCGGAAAUUCACAGGUCAAAGUUCAUCUACACAUAGUGAAAGUAACUGUCUCUUUCACUUCCCACAUCUUUUCCUUUAGUUAACUGGCUUUCCACCAGGCAAGUUUUAUUAGCUGCUUUUGCUUAAACAGAAAAGCAUACUUUGCAGUUCUCCCAUAUCACCGUAGCAAGGGGGGUAUGGCUAAACCACAGAUGUUGGCACCUCUGGAAUACUGAAUUCUUUAUUUUUGCCCUGGAGCCCCAAAGCUAAAACAUAAGGUGAUCUGGUGCUGUUCUGAUGGCAGAUUGACAGGCUGUGGCUUUGGAAAGCCUUCAUUCUGUAGCUUAGCAACACACAGCCUGAGGAGAAAAGUGCUGAUGUCCUCUGGCACCACAGCACGAAUGUUCUUAAAGUCAGUGAGAUCUGCAACACAGCCAGAAAAGAAAGAGCAUUAGAUCUCUGUGUUACCCGAGCUGAGAGGAGGAGAGGAGAGGAUGCGUGUGAUGGUGUUGAAUACAGAUGAAGACAGGCCGGCUCGCUCACUGUCCAGAGGCUGGCCUGCCUUCUGAGCCU
Molecule: long non-coding RNA, 1297 nt
Organism: Pangasianodon hypophthalmus (striped catfish)
Lineage: Eukaryota; Metazoa; Chordata; Actinopteri; Siluriformes; Pangasiidae
Exons: 3
Source: RefSeq, a predicted model, not a curated record